GCUUUAUAUAAUUACUAAUAUUUUAAGGUUAAAAAUGUCUUUUUCAAUUCUUUGUAUUUACAAUAAGGAGAUGUGGUAUGAAAGCCGAUAAAACAGCUACAUUAUAUUGAAUCUAUCAGAAUACAGAUGACGUAGAUGCAGCUAAUUUUAGGGCACCGUAUAACCUUAAUGACCUUUAUGAGUUUGACUGUCCCUUUGGUAUCUUUCGUCCCUCUUUUAAACAAUGAGUCAAAUUCAUUAUAUGCAGUCAGCUAGUAAAGGUCGAGACAUCAUCGUAUUUAAAGAUGGAACAAUUCAAAUUAGAAAACUACCGACCUGUUUUAUGAUAACACAAUAAACAAAAACCUCAUAAUAUGAUUGACAGCAACCGACGAAAACCAUUGAAUUACAUGCUUCUGACUUGGAAAAGGCAUAUCAAUAAUGUGACGGGAUUAAUAAUAAAAUUGGGAAUGGAAAUGGGAAAUGUGUCAAAGAGACAACAACCCGACAAUAGAAAAAACAACAGCAGAAGGUCACCAAACAUGAUAUUGUUUUAGGACACUCAAGUCUAAACAUAAUCACAGAACAGUGGUGUAAACGCACAAGAUAGGUUCAAAGUUUAACUGUAAAAUCUCAUUAUAUUUUCGUUUCAGUUUCAAAUAAAGAGGGGGGACAAGGGGGUCCCCAUAACAGCAAAACAGUGAAUUGAUUUGGUGAAAACAGAUAACAAGGAAUUGAAAAGGGAUAAUAACAGAUAACAGUAAAUGAAAUAUGAAAAUAAAUCUGUCAAGGACCAAUCCAGUAGAUGACUCGUAGAUCUUAGUAUAUAACUUGUGAUAUGGACCUAGAAAAUUGUAAUUUGUGUAAACAAGACGUUUCGGCCGUUGAGGCAGUUCUUUUCCCGUAACUUGUACAAUAAGUUAUAGUAUGGAUGUUGAAUUUUUCUGAACGAAAUAACUAGUUUCUGACAUAGGGAUAUUUUUAAUCUAGGGCAUUUGAGGAAUCAAUUUUUAAUGAUUUAGGUUGAAAAUAGUGCAGCCAGUGAC
This 1025-nucleotide long non-coding RNA is filed under the name Mytilus galloprovincialis (Mediterranean mussel). The record is from RNAcentral. Lineage: Eukaryota; Metazoa; Mollusca; Bivalvia; Mytilida; Mytilidae.